RNAcentral lists this ribosomal RNA (429 nucleotides) under bacterium. RNAcentral describes it as "partial 16S ribosomal RNA". It matches the Rfam family "Bacterial small subunit ribosomal RNA", at positions 355 to 776 of the family's 1533-position model. The record is from RNAcentral.
UAGGGAAUCUUCGGCAUUGGGGGCAACCCUGACCGAGCAACGCCGCGUGAGUGAAGAAGGUUUUCGGAUCGUAAAGCUCUGUUGUAAGAGAAGAACGUGUGUGAGAGUGGAAAGUUCACACAGUGACGGUAACUUACCAGAAAGGGACGGCUAACUACGUGCCAGCAGCCGCGGUAAUACGUAGGUCCCGAGCGUUGUCCGGAUUUAUUGGGCGUAAAGCGAGCGCAGGCGGUUUAAUAAGUCUGAAGUUAAAGGCAGUGGCUUAACCAUUGUUCGCUUUGGAAACUGUUAAACUUGAGUGCAGAAGGGGAGAGUGGAAUUCCAUGUGUAGCGGUGAAAUGCGUAGAGAUAUGGAGGAACACCGGUGGCGAAAGCGGCUCUCUGGUCUGUAAAUGACGCUGAGGCUCGAAAGCGUGGGGAGAAAACAGG